GAAAAAUGUUUAGUAAGCUGGAAUGUCACAAGAGGAAGCCCAGAGAACACAGGGAUAACAAACACCAGGAGGACUACGGAAGAGGAAGUUUUAUUAUUUUCAACACAAGUCUCUCACAGACAUUUUCUAGAUUUAUGGGCUUUGGCACACAUUUCAUUCCUGGAGAUGGUUAG
Molecule: long non-coding RNA, 173 nt
Filed under: Cavia porcellus (domestic guinea pig)
Lineage: Eukaryota; Metazoa; Chordata; Mammalia; Rodentia; Caviidae
Description: lncRNA (ENSCPOG00000036285.1)
Source: RNAcentral